Molecule: long non-coding RNA, 436 nt
Organism: Alosa alosa (allis shad)
Lineage: Eukaryota; Metazoa; Chordata; Actinopteri; Clupeiformes; Clupeidae
Exons: 2
Source: RefSeq, a predicted model, not a curated record
ACAAAAACACAUACAAGUUAUUCUAACAAGAUGAGCGGCGAUCACCAGUUCUUCCCGUCUGUGCACGAUUCCUCCAGCACAUCAUCUGAUAUUUGGUCCAGCUUGACUUUCAACACUCCUAAAAGCUCCGAACAGCUAUUUAAACCUCUACCUUGGCCCAAAACAAGCAGCCUCUCAAUAGCUGAAUACCAACCGCUUGAUGCCUUCUGUCCGCCUGAGGGUCCUCGUUGGUUGUCGACGACUGACCAGGAUGUCGUCAGUGAACUGGGCAUUCGCUUGGUGGAGAUCGAGUUAUUAACAAUCAUAGGAGAACAUGGCGACAAUCAUGGAAAGAACUUCUUUCUAAGCGAGAUGGAUGUGCAUCUGAGAAGAAUAAGACUAGGAAGACCUUUGCUACAACAUCCAUCAUCAAUUUAUUAAAAAUCUAUUUUUUAUA